RNAcentral lists this ribosomal RNA (424 nucleotides) under uncultured bacterium. RNAcentral's name for it is "bacterial SSU rRNA". It matches the Rfam family "Bacterial small subunit ribosomal RNA", at positions 355 to 772 of the family's 1533-position model. The record is from RNAcentral.
UGGGGAAUUGUUCGCAAUGGGCGCAAGCCUGACGACGCAACGCCGCGUGGAGGAUGAAGGUCUUCGGAUUGUAAACUCCUGUUGCCCGGGACGAAAAGCCUUGACCUAACACGUCAAGGUCUGACGGUACGGGGUGAGGAAGCCCCGGCUAACUCUGUGCCAGCAGCCGCGGUAAUACAGAGGGGGCAAGCGUUGUUCGGAAUUACUGGGCGUAAAGGGCUCGUAGGCGGCCAACUCAGUCGGACGUGAAAUCCCUCGGCUUAACCGGGGAACGGCGUCCGAUACUGGAUGGCUUGAAUCCGAGAGAGGGAUGCGGAAUUCCAGGUGUAGCGGUGAAAUGCAUAGAUAUCUGGAGGAACACCGGUGGCGAAGGCGGCAUCCUGGAUUGGUAUUGACGCUGAGGAGCGAAAGCUAGGGGAGCAAA